GCCUCUUAAGCAGCUAGAUUUAGGUCACCUUUGACUGCCACCGCCAGGUUUCUUUUACUUGAAGCCCCUCACCUAUAAAACCAUACUCAGAAGAGCAUGAUUUUACUUUUGGAUUAUCCAAAAACUUGGACAAUUAGGUUCUAUAAGAACCCUUGAAAUUCAUAAGAAAGAAGGGGUCAAUUUUACAAAACUUAGCAGCUAAUUUCACCACAGAAGCCUUAGGUAACCAAUUCCAAAAAAAGAGAGAAAACCCUAAAGCUAAAGAAAAACAAAAAAAAUCCUAACUUUCUGUCCUAUCAAGUAGCCAAAUACCACAAUCAAAAGAUUAAGAAAAGCAUAAAUAAAAAAUAGCAAAAAGUAAUAAAAAAAAGCCUUGAAAAUUUGAAAACUAGAAAGGACCAAUGGGGUUUGUUUUUCCUUCUUUUCUUUUGGGAUCUUCACGGGAUUUAGGGAAUUUAUGGCCUGUGGUUUUCGAUCGGUUUUGUUGGGGAGUGAUUGUGAGGGAGAAAAAGAGGAAGUUGAUGAAAUCGAUAGAGAAGAGGGGCAAUUGACAAGGUAGGCUGACUGUCAUGACCUGAAACUCCCAUCGAGCCCGUGACAAUUGUCGCGACGUCCCGAUAGGCACUCAUUACCCCGAAUGCCGAUUGAAAUCCCGUAAGACUUAGCAUUAGCUUCUGAAUCUCCCCAGUGAGCGACAGUUAUUAAAUCUCACAUUUCAAAAAAAAUCAUAAGUCAUUUCCAAAUCAAAACAAUAAAAUAUUACUUUCUGGCUCACAGGGGUAUUUUCGUCAUUUUUCUUCGAAAAUACCGAAACUCGCCAAAAACAUGGUGUAAAAGCUAAAUAUAUUCAUACAUAUCUUAAAUUAAAUAACUGAAGAAUAAAAUUACUUUUACAGUGACACGUGGACCCCCAACUAACUAAGAAAAUAUAGGGUUAUGAAUCCUUACUUUCUAAGAUGCAACUCCGAGAUUAAUUCUCGUCUUAAUCAACUAUCAACAAAUUGUCUUGAGCCUGAAAAAUGUAUAGGAAGAAGGGUGAGAUUAUAAAAUCCCAGUGAGUAGACAGACAUCAUCAAAAUAAUUUAAAGCCGAGUAAUAUGAGACAAUUAAAAUAAUUCAUCCCAACCCAUAUAAAUAAUUGGAUUGCAUCCAAUUACUCAACAUGGCUUAUGAACUUUUCAAAAACUUGGCUUUUGCCAAAAAUCCAUUCUCGGGGAUACCCCGCGAAGGCAUCUUACCGAGACCGCCAAGGCUGUUUAUUGUCACACACACAAACACAUUUCACCUCUGACAACACAGCCGUUCCUUGGAGUUAGCUGAGUCCCAAUUUCACGUGGUGGCCAACGUGAAGUGUACUCAAAUCCUACCUCGAGAGUUAUCUUACGCGCCUCUCCAAUCGAGGUAAGCUCAAUAAUUGGGAACUGUGCCCCUCUAAUUAGGCUAACCCACAGAACCCCCGUCACUGCAGUGCCCACUUUAUAAUCCACCAACCAAUAAAAUCACAAUAGUAUGACAUGGCUCACUUAACACAUUCAAGGUAAAUCAAAGCAGUUCACAUAUUCUUAAAAUCAUAAAAAUAACCAAUCAUACCCACAUUUAUCAUAAGCCAUUUAAUGUAAAAUCAUAGAUAAACAACACAAUCAUAGUAUAGGUCUCCAAUUACUCUAUUUUUGAAAUCAUUAUUAAAUUUUCAAAAAUAUUAUAAAAUUAUUUUAUAAAAUCCCAUUUUACCAUAAAACACAAUAAUUUUCCAAUUAAACCAUUUUUUCAUAAAAUCACACAAUUAAAUAAAUCUACUCUAGAUAAUUAAGACGAUAGUAAGUUUACUCACUGUACUAGGAGUCGAUAUACUCCUAUUUUCAAUCCGCGGGUACAGUCCUUUACCCGUAUCUAAUGGCUCACCACCUAGCCAUAAUCCAUGGCACAUAUUUCAAUUAAAUUGUGUCUAACAGUCAUAAGCUAUUUCAGGCUCGAUAUAUAUGCAUGAUAUGAAAUGAAAAAUGCACAGGUAGCCAUCUAGACCCGGUAUUGACCUAAGUCGAUUUUUCAUCCAAUAAAUUGGCCAAUGCGUCCAAUUUCACUCCAACUUUCUCCAUUUCUUUUCCAAUCCCUCAAUUCACCAAGCACAACUAAUUAACACACAAUUAGGCAAAUUUAUCUUCACUUUUCUUCUUGGAACUUUCGGCCAUUGAAGGUUCAUGGGGAAAAUGGAUUCUUUUCUUGUUGUUUUGUUUCUAAACAUGUUUAACUAACUCUAAACACCAACAUAACUCAAAAUCAAACAAUUCCAACAUCUUUCUCUCUCCAUACCCAUUUUGACCAGCCAUAAUUUCAUCAUGAAAACAUGUAAUUUAACCAUGGAAAUUAAGGAAAAAUGCAUGGGUAAGGUAAAUCACUAGCAAAAUCAAAGAAAUUUUACCUUUGCUUGAUCAAAUCCUUGAAUUCCAACACUUUCUCUUUGAUUUUUCCCACCUAGGGUUUGUUCUUCCUUGGUUUCUCUUCUCUUCUGGUUUGGCUGAUCACUAUGGGAGAAAUGGGCUGAUUUUUUUGCCUUUUUAUAAAGAAAUAAUAAAAUAAUAAAAACAUGACACAUGGCAUUUCCUUAUUGGCUCAAAUUUUAAAUAUUUGACUUUUAAUUCUUUAAUUCUCCACCACACAUUUCUCAUGUUUAUCCAUUUCCAUGAUGAAUAAAAUCCCUUGGUCUUGACAAGUGUCGGGGGUGAAAAUUUACCGAUUUGCCCCCGGGGUGGCAAAAUUACCAUUUCACCCUUAUACUCCAAAUUAUACCGAAAUUAAAAUUUUUCACUUCUAAACUUCAAAUCAUACUCCAAUACUUAAAUCAUACUCCAAUAAGUCAAAUGGACCAAAAAAAAUCUUUUCUAAAAAUUUUCAUUUUGUCCCCAAGUGGCAAAUGACCAUUUUACCCCUAGAUAGUGAAAAUUCCAGUUUGACUCCAAAUUGAUCCUCGAACUCCGAAUUACCAUUUUGAGUCAUCCAUGAACUGUGAAACUCUUAAUUUCACCUUAAAAUUCCUAUUUGAACUAGUUCGAGGCUUAAUCGACUUAAUGAUACCAUUAGGGGCAAUAUCGUCUUUUAACGAUUUCUCGAACUUCCUAAAUAUACAAACAUUCUAUCGAGCAUGUGAAUGACAUUAUAAUUAUUUUACAAAGCAGGGUUUGACACCGACAGUGAGAGUAGUGACUGUUUAGGGAAAGAAGAAAGGGUGAAGAAAGGGGUUGAAGAACAAGCUCAGAGAAAAGGGGGAGGAAAACUGUAAUUAGAGAGAGAAAAUGGGAAGGUGAAGUGAACAGAGAAGAAAGAAAAAUAGUUUUUAUACUUAAGGUUAACACCUGAAAACGACACCAUUUUAAGAAGUAAAAAGGGAAGGAACAUCAGUCAAAUGACGUCGUUGAGGACAUUUGGGAAGUUAUAGCAUAAGCACUAAAAUGGUGCAAUUUGAGUAAAGCUCUGUGAGCCUUGGGAAGCAGAUCUGUUGAAGUGGGGUUGUGUCAUGACCCGAAACUCCCAUCGGCCCCGUGACAACCGUCGCGACGUCUCGAUAGGCACUCAUUACCCCGAAUACCGAUCGAAACCCCGCAAGGCUUAGCAUCAGCUUCCGCAUCUCCCCGGUGAGCGACAGUGAGCGACAGUUAUUAAAUCUCACAUUGCAAGAAAUCAUAAGUCGUUUCCAACUCAAAACAAUAAAAUAUUAUUUUUUAGCUCACAGGGGCAUUUUCAUCAUUUUUUUUUAAAAUUUCGAAAUCCGUAAAAAUGUAAUAUGUAAGUGGAAACGCAUAUUUCAUGAUUUAAAUUAAAUUUUGAAGUCUAAAACAUUCGUUUAAAGUAAAAUUAUAACUAUUUGAAUAUAAUAAAAAUAUUAAAUAAAAUAUUCUAUUUUCUUAAAACACAAUAUUUUCAAAGUCUUCCUAAAAUAACUUUUGUAGCGUAAGAGUAAAAUAAAUUUAUUCAUAUAGUAAUAAAGAUAAUUAAAGUAUGAAAUUUCGUUUACAGUGACACGUGGGCCCCCAAUUGAGCAAGAAGGUGUAGGGCUAUGAAUCCUUACUUUCUAGGAUGCACUCCGAGAUUAAUUCCCGUCUUAAUCAACUAUCAACAAACUGUCUUGAGCCUGAAAAAUGGAUAGGGAGAGGGGUGAGAUUAAAUAAUCCCAGUGAGUAAACAAUUACCAUCAAAAGCAUCUAAAGUCGAGUAAAUGGAGACAAUAUAAAAACGUUAUAUCUCAAUAAUGUUCAUAACACAAAAUUCGUUUCAAUCUAUACCAAACAAUUUCUUUUUAUCAAAAUUUUUCGGCUUAUGAAUUUCUUAAACUUGGCCCCUGCCAGAAUCAUUCUCGCGGGUACCUUUGUCAAGGUAUCCCACUGAGACUGUCAAGGCUGUUCAAUGACCCAUACCCAUAAACAUGUUUUCACAUUUGACACACAGCUGUUCCUUGGCGUUGGCUGAGUCUCACUCUCAUGUGAUGGCUCGAACGUGAGGUGCACUCAAAUCUUACCUCAGGAGAUACUUCAUCCAACAUCUCCCCUCGGAGGUAAUUAUAUAAUUGGGUUACCGUACCCCUCUCAUAGGCAGUCCACGAAAACCCCAACCACUGCAGUGACUGUUUAAUAUACCACCAGACCCAUAAAAAUUUCAGCAGCAUAAUAUGGCGAAUAAAAUGUAAUCCAGUCUACCGAGACCAAUCCAAAACUGUUCAUAUAUUUCAUGCCAACCCAAAAAAAUUUAGCCAUCAUGCUACCAUAGUGUCAUAAGCCACAAUUUCAAUAACAUAUAAAAUCAUAAAUUUCAACACAGUCUCCAUAUACUCAAAUUUCUCAAAACAAUAUUUGAUUUCAAAACCAGAAUAAAUCUCAUUUUUAUUAAAAAAUAUUUUAAUUAGAAAACAUAAUAUUUUAUAAUUUAAACUCACCAUUCAAUAAGAGCAUCAAACAAGUAUAAUUACUCUGGAUAUUUAAGAAGAUAAUUUGUCCACUCACAGUUCUAGGAGUCGAUGUACUCCUAAUCCCAGUCUUCAAGUACAAUCUCUGUACUUUUAUCAGUGUAAUUUGCUCACCACCUAUCCACAAUGUACAAUACAUAAUUCACCACAUCAAUGCUUGACCAUUAUAAAAUCAAUUCAGGCUCAGUCUAUAUGCAUGAUAUGAUAUACAACUUAUCCGACCAUCACUUAAAUGUGGUGCUGACCUAAUUCGGUCUAUUACCCGAUUAAAUCGAUAUACGUGCCUGUUUAAACUCCAAAUUAAUUUUUUUCAAUUUCUAUACCUCAAUUGCACCCAAAUUGACUUAAUGUCCCUCAGUGUGGUGCAAAUUAUCAGUUUCGAUAGCAAAUUACGAAAAUACCCCUAAUGGGUAAAAAUUCGUAUUUUUGCUCCGAAAAUUCCCAUUAUUUUUCUAGACUCAUAAUUCAUCAUUAAUCAUCAUAAUUCCUCAAAUAAACAUCAAGAUCAUCAGCCAAUAUUCCCCUAGAAAAUUUGGCCAAUAAUGGUAAUGAAGGAAAAUAAAUUCUUUUCUUGUUAUUUUGUUCCUAAAUAUGCUAAACUAACUAAAAACACUAACAUAACUUAAAAUCAAAUUAAUCUAACAACUUUCUCUCUCCUAACCCCUUUUGAUCAGCCAUCAAUUCAUCAUGAAAACAUGUAAUUUAGGCAUGAAAAAUUAGGAGAAAUGCUUAAGGAAGAUAGAUUUCAAGCUUAAGUUGAAAAAUCCUACCUUUUUCACUUGUUUUUCUUGAUUUUCCAUACUUUUUCUCUUGAAAUUCCUCACCUAGGGUUUGUUCUUCCUCUCUUUCUCUCUCUUCCUUGCUUGGCUGAAUAUUUGGAGAGUAAUGGGCUGAUUUAUGCUAUUUUUUUAGUUAAAUAAUAAAAUAUCCUAAGCUUGACACAUGGCAUUUUCUUAUUGGUUAAUUUUUAAAACUUUUAAAAUUUUAAACCUUUUAUCUCCACCACAUGAUUAGUCAAAGGUCAAAAAUGAGGAUAAAGGAAGACCUUGUGCUGGACAAAUGUCUUGGUGGUGGAAAAUUACAAUUUUACCCCUAGAGUGACAAAAUUAUCAUUUUACCCAUAUACUCCAAAUCAUAUCGAAAUUAAAAUUUUUCACUUCUAAACCUCAAAUCAUACUCCAAUAAGUCAAAUGGGACCUAAAAAAUCUUUUUUAAAAUUUUUCAUUUUGGCCCCAAGUGGCAAAUGACCAUUUUGCCUUUGGAUAGUGAAAAUUUCGGUUUGACUCCAAAUUGAUCAUCGAACUCCAAAUCACUAUUUUAAGUCAUCUCUGGACCAUGAAAUUCUUAAUUUCACCUUAAAAUUUCUAUAUGAACUAGUUCAAGGCUUAAUCGACUUAAUGAUACCAUUAGAGGCAGUAUCGUCUUUCAACGAUUUUCUCAAACUUCCUAAAUAUGUAACCAUUCUAUUGAGUAUAUAAAUGACGUCGUAAUUAUUUUAUAAAACAGGGUUUGACAGGUUGGUUGUCUUGGGCUGUCUCUUGCCCAAGGAAGGUAAACCUUUUUCUUUUUGUGGGUUUGGUAUGAUUUUGUUGUAUUGUGCUUGGCCCAAAUAUUUGGUUGGAAAAUAAAUUAGUUUUAGUAUGUGAUUAAUUAAAAUAAAAAAUAAAAAAUAUGCAGUAAAAUUAUCAAAUGUUAAGGUAAAAAUAUAAAGAGAAAAAAGUAAAAAAUUAUAAAUAGAGAGAUAGAUAAAUAUUUAAUAAUAAAGUGAUAGAUUUAGUUAUAUAGAAUAUAAGUGUAUAUAUAUAUAGGAAAAGAUGAAUGCCUAACCAAAAAAUAGUAAUAAAUAAUAGUAGAUCUAGGUUNUAUAUAUAUAUAUAUAUAUAUAUAUAUAUAUAUAUAUAUAUAUUUGAAAAGAUGAAUGCCUAAUGAAAAAAAUAGUAAUAAAUAAUAGUAGAUCUAGGUAAAAAAUACAAAUAUAUGUGAUAGAUAAAUAAAUAUUUAGCAGUAAAAAUAUAAAACUAAGUAAAUAAAAUAAUAUUUAGUUAUAAAAAAUUAAUCUAGCUGAAGGAAAGAAAAUAUAUGAAAAUGUAAAAGUAUAUGUAUAUUUUGUCAUAAGCAAAAUAGACUAAAUAAUGAGUGAAAAUAAUAUUAAUAUAGAUAAUUAUAUGAAAGUGACUUAAAUAAAAAAGGUAGAUAAAAUGUAAAAAGAUAAGUUAGGCAUGUAAAUAGAAAUGAGAUAUUUAACUAUAUAAAUUUAUAUUCAUAUAGGUAUAUAUAAAAAAAAUAAAAGAAUGGGACCUAGUAUGAAAUUAUUAAAUAUAAAAAUAUAACGAUUGUUUUAGGAUCAAUACCAAUGAUAGGAUGUCCAUUCAGAACGUGAGAAGUCAUAAUUCCCAAUGAAUUAUUAGGGACUUUGAUUAAGAUCCCACUAGUACCAUGUGAAGGUUUUAAUUUUGAGUCAUGAUGUUUCCAAUUCUAAAUAAAUAAAAAUUGUAUUAACCUAAUUACUAACCAAACAAAACAUAAAAACAAAGGAAACAAAAUAAUAAUAAUAAUAAUAAUAUACAAGAGGGAAUAGAUAAAAUAUGUAAUUUUAAAAUAUAAGAUUAUAUAAAAUAAGGAUUUUCAAGAUAAUAAAUAAAUAAAUAAUGAUAAUAAAAUUUUUAAAGAGAGUAAGAUGAUAACAAUAAUGAAUAUAGAGAAUAAUCAAUAGCGGACAUAAGAGUUGGUAUAGUACGUCUUGCAUUAUAAUCGCAUUUAAAUGUCAUGGCUUGUAGACAUUACGUGUGCGAGUCCAAAUCUCGAUGAUGGGACUUUUCAAGGGAGCUUGCAAAGGCGAGUUCUUUCAAAAAAUUUCCUAGGUGAAAGGAUACUUUCGAGUCUCACCAGUACGAUAGGAAGGCUCGGAGAAUAUCCUUAAUAAAAAGCUUCUGCUCGUAUUAAGGUCUGCAUUCAUAAAAAUAUUAUUUUUUACUUGCAAACGACUACCCCGAUGAUGGGAUUUACUCGAUAAACUUGCGAAAGUGAGUUUCUCGAGUAUUUUCUAGGUGAGAAAUUACUCUCGGAUCUUACCAGUAUGAUGGGUGAAUUCGAAUUCGCUUAGGACAUCAAUCGAGGACAAUUUUUAACGUCAAAAGAUCAGAUUGUUUACUCUAAAUGGUCUAAGUGUUCAUUACUUGAAAGAUCUAAGGAUUGCUUUGUAAAUUCUUGUAACACCCGACCCUAAAUUAUCUAUGACAUAUCAUUCACAUGCUUUGGAUAGCAUGUUUGUAUAUUGAAUUGCCCGGAAAACAAGUUAAAUGACUGUAUUGCCCCUAAUGGUACGGUUCAGUCAAAUAAGUCUUGAACUAGUUUAAACAGAGAAUCGAGGAUGAAUUUGAAAAAACUAAAACCUAUGGGUUGAUUUAAAAUGAGGAUUCAGAGUUUGAGGUCCGAUAUGGAGUUAAUCCGGACUUUAAGUAUUUUAAGGGUAAAAUGGUAAAUUACCACCUGAGGACGAAUAUGGAAAAUUUUAAUCCCGUUUGAUUAAGAUUGAUUAUAUUAAACAUAUUGGAGUUUAAUUUGAGGGUUUGACAGUGAAAAAAUUUAAUUUCGGUGAUUUCUAGAGUAUAGGGGCAAAAUCAUAAAUUUUUCACCCGCGGACAAAAUUUGAGAUUUUGAGAGAAUUUAGAUCAAAAUUGACAAAUUGGAGAGUGGUACGAGUAUAAGGGAUGAAAAAUAUGUCUAUGGGCAAUUUUUCAGUUUUUGGGGUAAAAAUGUAAUUUUGACUUUUACAGGGGCAAAAGUGUAAAUUUCAAAAAUUACUCCACCAAGACUUUGGAUAAGUCUUAGAAUUUUAUCUAAGCUAUGGAUAUGUUAGACAAGUGUAUGGUGAAAAUUUGGAAAUAAAUGGAUGGCUAGAAUUUAAGGAAUUAAUAAAAAAAAUGAAUAGAAUAAUAUUAUAUUAUUUUAGCCUUUAAAAAUGUCAAAAUUCCAGAAUUCUCAUCUUCUUCAGCCGUCCAAACCAGGAGAGAAAAAGGGGGAAAAGAAAUAAGAACCCUAGCUGAAAAAUUUGGGAAAAAUAAAGAGAAAUCAAGAAAUCAAGCAUUAAAAAGGUAAAUUUCAUUGAUUUUCCUUGUGAUUUUCACUACCCAUGCAUUUGUUUCUCAUUUUCAUGCAAAAUUAGAAAGUGGGUAUAGACACCCAUGCUGGCCAAACCUCCACGGAUGAGUUUUGAACUUGAAUUUUGGUUGAUUUUAAUUAAAUUAAGUGAUUUUAGUUAGGUUAUAUUGAACUAUAGCAAAAAUAAGCUAGAAAAAUAAUUUUCUCCCAUUGAAACCCAUUAUACCGAAUUUUCUAGGGGAAUAUUCGCUGCUGAUCUUGAUGUUUAUUUGAGGAAUUAUGAUGAAUAAUGAUGAAUUAUGAGCCUAGAAAAAUAAUGGGAAUUUUCGGAGCAAAAAAAUGAAUUUUUACCCACUAGGGUUAUUUUCGUUAUUUGCUAUCGAGACUGAUAAUUUGCACCACACUGAGGAACAUUAAGUCAAUUUGGGUGCAAUUGAGGUAUAGAAACUGAAAAAAAAUUAAUUUGGAGUUUAAACGGAUGUGUAUAUCGAUUUAUCCCGAAAUAGGCUAACAUCUCGUUUAGGCAAAAUUUAGACAUUUUGCACUUCAUAUCAUGCAUUAGUAGUAUAAAUUAGCUUAUUUUGGUUUAGUACCAAAGCAGUAAACCUCUUAAUUGUGCAAUUUGUCAAGGUGGCGAAUCCUUUGGUAAGGGUAAAGAAAUUGCACCCGAGGAAUAAUAGUUGGAGUACUCAAAUUUAGUUUUCAGAAACUGUGAGUAAACUUAUUAUCGUCUUAAUUAUCUAGAGUAGUUUUAUACAAUUGUGUGAUUUUAUGAAAAAUGGGUUUAUAUGGUAAAUUGCUAUGUUUUAAGAGAAAUUGUGAUUUUAUAAAAUGAUUUUAUAAAUUUUCUAGAAAAUCGAAUACUGGUUUUGACAAUAGAGUAAUUUGAGACUGCCUGCUUGUGUUGUAAAUUUAUGGUUUUAAAUUGAAUGGCUUAUGACAAUAAAUGAGCAUGAAUGGCUAAACUGAUUUUAGUGUUAGAAUUAUUUGUACUGUGUAUUUAGCCUUGAGAGGCUAGGUUGCGAUAAAUUGCCAUGUCAUGCAGAAAAAGAUUUUAUAAAUCAAGUGGUAGAUAAAAGAUUAGCUACUGCAGUGGUGGGGGGUUCCGUGGGCCAGCCUAUUAGAGGGACACGAUCAACUCCUUUAUAUUCUCACCUCGGUCGUAAAGGCGCGUAGGGUAUCUCCUGAGGUGAGCUUUUUGAGUGCACUUCACGUGGACCACCGCGUGAGAGUGAGACUUAGCCAGCGCUAAGGAACGGCUAUGUUUCAAAAUAAAAAUAUGAUUUAUGCGAAAUAUAAAUUUUUAACAACCUUGGCGGACUUCGUUGGAUACCCCUGGUCCAAGUGUCCCCGAGUACAAGAUUUGGCAUGAGCCAAGUUUUGAGUAAUUCACGAGCCAUAUUGAUUAUUUGGUUGAAAUGAAUAUUCGUUAUGUGAAAAAUUUAUUGAAGUUAAUUAUUUUUAAUUGUCUCCAUUUACUCGCCUUUAGAUAGUUUAGAUGGUGUCUGUUUACUCAUUGGGAUUUUAUAAUCUCACUACCCUCAAUUCCCCACAUUUUAGGUUCGGGAUAGCCAGUAGAUAGCUGAUUGCAUCAAGGACUUCAGUUAGCCUUGCAUUGUCAAAAUUAUAGAUUCACAGACUCGCAUCUUAUUGGUUAGUUGGGGGCCCACGUGUCAUUGUAAAAGUAAUUUUAUACUUUAGUUAUCUGAUUUAAAAUAUGUAUGAACAUAUUUAGCUUUUACACCAUGUUUUUGGCGAGUUUCGGUAUUAUCGAAGAAAAAUGACGAAAAUGCCCUUAUGAGCCAGAAAAUAAUAUUUUAUUAUUUUGAUUUGGAAACGACUUAUGAUUUCUUGAAAUGCAAGAUUUAAUAACUGUCGCUCACCGGGGAGAUGCAGAAACUGAUGCUAAGCCUUGCGGGGUUCCGAUCGGCAUUCGAGGUAAUGAGUGCUUAUCGGGAUGUCGCUGCGGUUGUCACGGCCCGAUGGGAGUUUCGGGUCGUGACAAUUCUCCUUCUUUUCUUUAUUUCAACCCCUACUUUUCACCAUUAUAUAAUUCCACAUGAUGAUUGUCAUAGAAAUGAAUGAUGAUUGGUAAAGAGAUGAACUAAUUAAGUAAGAAACUAUAUUUGUUGUUCAAUAAAAGACUUAAUGAUGAGGAAAAAAGAAAAAAGAGCCUCAACAUGAAAAAGGUCCAAUGUCAAAAGAAAUGAUGCCUAAGGAAAAUUAGGAAUUUCAGCCAAUGGGAAAGGCGUAGACAAAGAUGAGUGAAAGUUGUAGUGAAAAGGUUGGAUGAAGUAAGAAAAGGGUCAAGAAACCUUAAUGAAUCAUAAACAUGAAAACAUUCCAUCAAUUCAAUCGUGUACACAUGCCUAACCAUGCAUAUGAUCAUUUUCAAACAAGAAUCAAAAUUAAUACAUGUUCCAAGGUUCAAAAGUGGAAAUUUAUCGAACCUAAAGUGUUCAGGUUGUAAAACUUUGAUUAAGAUGGAAGUAUUUGAGUAUUUCAUUUUCAUAAAACAACUAAUGCAGAAAGGAUUUAAGCCUAAUUAAGUUGGCACGAGAGAUUCCAAGCCAAAUUUAGUUGACACUAGUAUGAGUUUAAAAAUGAUGUCAAUCCAAUUAAGUUGACAUUAGAUAAUUUAAAAUCGAACUUGUUUUGAAAUAGGUCGAGCCUAGGUCAAGUCUAAGAAUUUUAAUUUUUAAAUCGAAUCUGUUUUGACAUAGGUCGAGCCUAGGUCAAGUCUAGGAAUUUCAAUUUUUUAAUCAAACUUGUUUUGCUAUAGGUCGAGCCUAGAUUGAGUGUAGAAAUUUCAAUUUUUUAAAUCAAACCUAUUUUGAUAUAGGUCCAGCCUAGGUCAAGUUUAGAAAUUCAGUUUUUAAAAUCAAACCUAUUUUGAUAUAGGUUGAGCCUAAGUCGAGUUUAGGAAUUUCAAUUUUUAAAUCGAACCUAUUUUGAUAUAAGUUGAGCUUAAGUCAAAUCUAGGAAUUUUGAUUUUCAAUUUGAACUUAUUUUGAUAUAGGUCGAGCCUAAGUCAAGUCUAGGAAUUUGAAUUUUUAAAUCGAACCUAUUUCGAUAUAGGGCGAACCUAGAUCAAAUCCCAAAAUUUCAAUUUUUAAGUCAAACAUAUUUUAAGAUAGGUCAACCCUAGAUUAAGUUUAAGAACUUCAAUUGUUUAAAUCGAACUUGCUUUAAGAUAGGUCAAAUAUGGUGCUUACGUCUUUGCACUAUUCUUGAUUCUCAAGAAUGUGUAAAGAGAGGCAACUGUAGCACCUAUACCCAUAGAUCUCAAAUAAAAAAAAUAAUAAAUAAUAAAUAAAUUGCUCUUAAAAAAAUUGAAAUUGAUGGUUUUAGUAUUCUUAGCCUCUUUCUCCCAUAGUCAACUGAUCAGAUGUUCAAGCCGAUGGCUACCCUAUUGCUUUUCUAAGCACCGUCACUUUGAUACUUAGGAAACAGCUUGCACAAGGCAUUUAAUGCCCUUUGGGUAGCUAGAUUUGGGUCACCUCUAGCUGCCAUCCCUAGGUUUUCUUUUACAUGGAGCCCUUCAUUUGUAAAAUCAUGCUAAAAAAAGCAUGAUUUCAUUUCUAGAUUGUCCAAAAACUUGGAAAAUCGAGUUCUAUAAGAACCCUUGAAAUUCAUAAGGAAGAGGGGGCAAUUUCACAAAACUUAGCAGCCAAUUUCAUCACAGAAGCCUUAGGCAACCAAUUUCAAAAAAAGAGAGAAAACCCUAGAGCAAAAGAAAAACUCAAAAAAAUCCUAACUUUCUAUCCUAUCAAACAACCAAAUACCAUAAUCAAAAGAUUUAAGAAAAGCUGAAAUAAAAAUAACAAAUAGCAAUAAAAAAAAAGGCCUUGAAAAUUCGAAAACUAGAAAAGACUAAGGGGGUUUGUUUUUCUUUCUUUUCUUUUGGGAUCUUCACGAGAUUUGGGGAAUUUAGGGUUGGUGGUUUUUGAUCGGCUUGGUUGGGGAGUGAUUGUGAAGGGAAAAUAGAGAAAGUUGAUGAAAUCGAGAGAGAAAAAGGGCAAUUGACGAGGUAGGCCGGCAGUGAGAGUAGUGAUAAUAUAGGGAAAUAAGAAAGGGUGAAGAAAGGGGUUGAAAAACCAGCUUCAGAGAAGGGGAAGGAAUACUGUCAUUAGAGAGAGAAAAUGGGAAGGUGAAGUGAAGAGAGAAGAAAGAAAAAUAGUUUUUAUACUUAAGGUUAGCACUUAAAAACGACAUUAUUUUGGGAAGUAAAAAGGGAAGGAGCAUCAGUCAAAUGAUGUCGUUUCGAGCGUUUGGGAAGUUGUAGCAUAAGCACUAAAACGGUGCGAUUUGAGUAAGGCUUUGUGAGCCUUUGGAAACAGAUUUGUUGAAGUGGGUUUGGUUGUCUUGGGCCGCCGUUUGCCCAAGGAAGGUAAACCCUUUUCCUUUGUGGGUUUGGUAUGAUUUUGUUGUAUUGUGCUAGGCCCAAAUAUUUGGUUAGAAAAUAAAUUAGUUUUAGUAUGUGAUUAAUUAAAAUAAAAAAUAAAAAAUAUAUAGAAAAAUUAUCAAUUGCUAAGGUAAAAAUAUAAAGUGGAAAAAGCAAUAAAUUAUAAAUAGAGAGAUAGAUAAAUAUUUAAUAAUAAAGUGAUAGAUUUAGUUAUAUAGAAUAUAAGUGUGUGUGUGUGUGUGUGUUAUACCUAUCAAAAUGGGCUUGGCCCAUUGGGCCAACCCAUUUUUCAUUUAAUAUGGGGUGGGCUGGGCCAUGAAAAUUUAGGCCCAUAUUUAAACCGGGCCUAGAUGGGCCAGCCCACCAAAUCAAUAGGCUAGGGUGGGUUGGGGCGGCCAGCCCUAUGGGCCAAAAAAAUUAAUAAUUUUAAUUAAUUUAAUAACUUUAUAUAUUUAAUUAUAUAAAAGUAAUAAUUUAAUUGCCAAUAAUAUUACUUAUUUUAUAUAUUUUAAUGUGUUUUGUCACGACCCGAAACUCCCAUCGAGCCCGUGACAACCACCGCGACGUCUCGAUAGGCACUCAUUACCCCGAAUGCCGAUCGAAACCCUGU
This 14070-nucleotide long non-coding RNA is filed under the name Theobroma cacao (cacao). Its description in RNAcentral is "long non-coding RNA (TCAC_LNC002569)". The record is from RNAcentral. Lineage: Eukaryota; Viridiplantae; Streptophyta; Magnoliopsida; Malvales; Malvaceae.